UACAGAGGGGGCAAGCGUUGUUCGGAAUUACUGGGCGUAAAGGGCGCGUAGGCGGCCUGCUAAGUCGAACGUGAAAUCCCCGGGCUCAACCCGGGAACUGCGUCCGAUACUGGUUGGCUUGAAUCCGGGAGAGGGAUGCGGAAUUCCAGGUGUAGCGGUGAAAUGCGUAGAUAUCGAGAGGAACACCUGCGGCGAAGGCGGGUUGCUGGGCUGACACUGACGCUGAGGCGCGAAAGCCAGGGGAGCGAACGGG
This 253-nucleotide ribosomal RNA is filed under the name uncultured bacterium. RNAcentral describes it as "partial 16S ribosomal RNA". It matches the Rfam family "Bacterial small subunit ribosomal RNA", at positions 524 to 776 of the family's 1533-position model. The record is from RNAcentral.